UAUGAAUCUUAAUUUUGUUUUCUUUUUCUUCUUUAGCAACUCCUAAUUGGGGGCUUUUGUCGUUCGAGAAAGAAAAGAAGACAAAAUUAGAAAGCCCCCUCUAGGGGGCUUUUUUUAU
This is a non-coding RNA of Providencia rettgeri DSM 1131, 118 nucleotides long. NCBI's taxonomy places the organism in Bacteria, Pseudomonadati, Pseudomonadota, Gammaproteobacteria, Enterobacterales, Morganellaceae. The record is from Rfam.